This 253-nucleotide ribosomal RNA is filed under the name uncultured bacterium. RNAcentral describes it as "partial 16S ribosomal RNA". It matches the Rfam family "Bacterial small subunit ribosomal RNA", at positions 524 to 776 of the family's 1533-position model. The record is from RNAcentral.
UACAGAGGUCUCAACCGUUGUUCGGAUUCAUUGGGCGUAAAGGGUGCGUAGGCGGUCGCGUAAGUCGGAUGUGAAAUCUCAGGGCUCAACCCUGAAACUGCAUUCGAUACUGCGUGGCUAGGGUACUGGAGAGGAGACUGGAAUUUACGGUGUAGCAGUGAAAUGCGUAGAUAUCGUAAGGAAGACCAGUGACGAAGGCGAGUCUCUGGACAGUUACCGACGCUGAGGCACGAAGGCCAGGGGAGCAAACGGG